RNA transcript from Mirounga angustirostris (Northern elephant seal), 1315 nucleotides. It is a transcript of the gene named doublecortin domain containing 2B, with no coding region annotated. NCBI's taxonomy places the organism in Eukaryota, Metazoa, Chordata, Mammalia, Carnivora, Phocidae. The record is from RefSeq and is a predicted model, not a curated record. The transcript is spliced from 3 exons.
GCCGAUGUCGGGGAGCAGGAGCAUAGAUUUUGUUUCAGUGAGACCAAGAAAAUGUGGGUGGGUUUGUUUCCAGAGCCCCUGGUCCCAACAUGCCUGAUGGGUGAAAACGGACCAGUGCCCCGGUUUGUAGACAAUCUUCCGGCCCCGUGCUGCCCUUCUUCCUCUCACAUGUGGGGCGUUCUGGGGACCCCUCUCCUUACCAGGCUGCUCUUUGUCCCAGUGUGUUCAGGAAUGGGGACCUGGUAAGUCCGCCAUUUAGCCUGAAGCUGUCCCAGGCUGCUGGCGAGGACUGGGAAACCGUGCUGAAGCUCCUGACUGAGAAGGCCAAACUGCAGGCUGGGGCUGUGUGCAAGUGAGUGUGGGCCCCGGGGAGGGAGCCUCCCUGCUGGUCCCGGCUGUCCUAGCGGACAACAAGGUGAAAGGAAAGCACGUCUCCCCAAAUGGGACUUCCUUCUACGCCACAGGGAGAGGCCCCCACAGCUGAGCCCCUGGAGCCAGGGCAGAGCCGAGGUGACUGGCCCGGGUGCUCGGAGGGUCAGCAGCCAGCGCGUACCCCGUCAUAGUCUGCCGAGUGUGAAGAGGCAUCUUGUCCGCUGGCCUUUACCCACCUACCUCUCUCUCCCAGACUCUGCAGCCUGGAGGGGCUCCCACUGUCAGCAAGAGAGGCUCUGGUGAACGGCCAUUAUUAUGUGGCGGUCGGAGAAGAGGAGUUCCAGGCCCUCCCUUAUGUGGAGCUGCUGGUGCCCAGCCCCUCACUGCCCAGGGGCUGCUGGUACGGACGGGCACCCGCCAGACCCAAAGUCUAAGCCCCACAAGCCGCGGCUCCCACAGGCACCAGGGGCAUUCAAGCUUGGCCUGGCAGGAGAGAAGGCAAGAACAACCAUCACCCCCAGUCCAAGCCCAGUAUGUCCUCUACAGGCCCAGGGCCCCAGGGCACAGGCAUCCCAGCCCUCUCCAAAGGAACCAAGCCCCACUGAGCCAUCUGCUUUCUAUGCCAGACCCCAGCAGGCCAUUCAGCCAAGCAACAGGCUCCCCACGCUCUCAGUUCCCUCAGGUGAGGGGACCCUGGGCCCUUCUCACCCACCCUCUGACAGUGACACAGAAUGGUCCCUGUUGUGGGAGAGGUCCAUGGGGGCAGAAUGCCCGGGGACAGAGCUGGCCCUGGCCUCAACACAGAUCUUUCCCGCUGCCCCACGUGCACACGCAGUCCCUGGCUUCUUUGUGGGGAGCUGGCAAUAUGAAACGAGGCACAGGGAAACUUCAAGGGUGGGAUCUGGAAGGGAUGGGGGCCAAUGUCCUGCCUCAGAGCUACCCU